RNAcentral lists this unclassified non-coding RNA (1040 nucleotides) under Hevea brasiliensis (rubber tree). The record is from RNAcentral. Lineage: Eukaryota; Viridiplantae; Streptophyta; Magnoliopsida; Malpighiales; Euphorbiaceae.
UAUCAGCGUAAUUUAUCAUAGAAAAUGAAUCUAACCCAAGGGAUUGAAAAACAAAAAUUGAACUAAACCAAUGAACUAAACCAAUGAACUAGUAGUAGCAAAAUCCAACACACAAUAACUUUAAACUGUGAUACAUGCCUCUAGGAAAUCUCAGGUGAAGUACAAUUGCUCCAUGUCAAUUCAUUUUAUCAAUUAAAUCAUUUAUUUCAUCUUCACGAUUUCCAGUGUCUCCUCCGUCCUUGUAAGAUGCCCUCUUGCCCUGCAAUCCUCCCUUCGGCUUGCUGAGUGCAAAAGGCCCCAAAAAAUUUGUUAUCUCCUUAAAAUGUGGACCAACAUUAGCAAUUUCAUGUACGAUAUCUUCUAAACACAGGAUGCCGUGUUUCCCUAAUGCCUGUUCAAUAAUGGUGUUAUCAAUAAGAGGAACUCUCUGCUUGUUCAGCAUUCCAUAACCCUUCUUGUAAAUUAGCUCACUAACAUUCUUAGGAUUUGGAUAUCCAAAGGUAACAUAGGGCUCCACCCUUUGUAGCAUUUCCAAUACGCCAGCAGUUGCCUUCAUGAAAACACCAUGAAAAAUCCUCCUUAGUUUCAGGUUGUACAAAAUCUUCCUUGUUUUUGGGUGCAUAUCAUUUUUGCCUUGUAUGCGAAUGAUGAAUAGAAGCUUUGACUUUGGCGUGAGUGAAGCUGAUUUUGGCCUCUUUGUCCUCUGUUUCAUUCGGAUUAGGUCCAAUUCCUUGUCUCUGAACUCCUUGAUAAACUGCUCAGGCCUUUUGAUAUCCUCCACCUUCCUCUUCUUCCCUCCAUAUUUGCCAAACUCCAACUGGGUUUUCCUUGUAAGUGCUAGUGAUUCUUCCUUGUGUUUUCUUUUCUUCAAAAUAACCUCCGGUAUAUAAGCCAUCGCCAUUGUCUCCCCUUCCGCCAUUACUAUUCUCUUCUCUCCCUGGCCACCCAGAAUGAAAAUCUGAAAGCUGAAGCAGAGGUGCGAUGUAGGAAGAAGCCGAGUUGCGGCGGCAAGUCGCAAGCUCGACAAGGAGGAGAGUUUU